UCAAGGGGAAUCAACUCGCAUUUCUUGAUUAUGGAGUUAGACAGGUCUGAUCCAGCUAAAAGAAUUUGGGAUUGAUGCGUAGUGAUUUUUGCUUAAGAUUUAUUUACUAUUUCCAGAUAGGAUGUGAUAAUUAUCUUGUGUUCCAAUUGCUUGUCUUCUAUAUCUGAUUGCUUUCUUAUUUUUCAUGUCGUUGUCCUUGUAGUUACAUGCUCUAGCUUUGCAUCUUCUACUUUGUGAAGGUAAUUACUCUUUUAGUGGUUUCAUGGUGUCAAAACAUUCAAUUUUCACAUUUAAAGUAUCAUUGUGCUACAUUUUCUGACGAAUGAUUUUACCCAUUUAGUGUAUCCUCUGCUACUAGAUGCAUGAAACAUAAAAUAUGUGAGUUCUAGUUGUUUGUUAUUGAUGUUAUUAGCAAAUAAUGAAAUAUAUUAGUAUUUUUAUACUAUAUGGUUACAAAGAGAACUUAAUAUUUUCCAAAAGGUUUCAUGCCUGAUCACUACCAUGUUGCUAGCUCUUAACUGAUACAUCCCUACUAUGUCUGUUGGAUUAUUGCACUAUAUGGUGAUAGAAGUUUCAUUUCUCUGUCCGAAGGAUAUAGGUUUUUGUAGUACUUUGAUCUUUUAUAGACUCAUAUCUUCUUAUUCUUAGGCAAAAAAUCUAUGAGCCCAAAUUAGUUUAUACACAAAUGUUUUAUCUAUUUUUAAUAGAAUUUCUUAUACUCAUCAGCUAUGACGACAAUUCACUUAAUAGAGUUGGAAUUUCCAGUGCCCAAGUAACAAUGUCGAGAAAGAGAUAUUCAUCGUAUUUAUAAGUUGAAGAGGUUGGAAACGUGCUGCCUUAAUGAUGUGUGGUGAGUCAUUUGGCGUAGAGCUUUGUCUAGUAAAGUCUGUUGGCCGUAUUAAAAUAAUACUCAUUGUAAAGAAAAUGAUUCUAAGUAACAUCAGAAAUUUGAAGUGGUAAGGAAAAAAGUUGUAGGUAAGUGCAAAGGUUUCCUUUAGUUUUCAAGACAGUCACUAGUUUAUUAAGUUCCAAAUAAAUGAUUGAAGAGCCAAAACAUUUAAAGAAGUGAAAUAUGAGGCUUACAAUUUGUUGAGAAGUGAAUGUUGAAGCUCACAUAUUUCACUUUUCAAAUCUCCGCUCUCCAAUCUUUUAUUUGGAGAUUAAUAUGCCCACAAAUGUCUUUAGAGCUAAGGGUAAACCUUUGCACUUUUCUGCAAUUCUUUUUCCAACCUCUUCAAGUUCCGAAAGUUUCUUAGAAUCCAUGUUUUCAAAUGCGCCUCUUUUGUAUAAAGGCCAACAACUUCACUGUACAGAGUUCCCACACUAAUUGGCUACUAGACAUCAUCAAAACAACACUUUUCUUAUGCGAAUUGGCUCUAUUUGACACGUUAACUACAAUGACAACCUCAUGGAAGAGUGCUGAGAUUCCAAAUUUUUAAGCAGACUUCAUCGAGAAAGAGGCAAGUUGAAACUGCUGAGUUAUGUGCUCCUGACUAACUUUCUUGACUUUUGGGGUUCCUCCACCCAUGCUUUUUAUUGUCAUUCUCCAUUACUCAAUCCUUCCUUUUCCCAAUCUCACUCCAGAAAAUUUGUAAAGUCAAUUUCCUUCUCUGCCUGGCAAGAUUUCAUAGUUUGUGCAGAAAAUUCUCAUCUCCUGUAACGUCUAAGUUUGGGUUUACUAAGAAGUUUGGGUAAGCAGUAGCUGUGGUUAAAAUCUGCUUACCUUCUACUUUGUAAAGUUACAGAAGUUAUAGUUGAUUAUUUUGAUGUAUGCUUCUCUAAAAUUUAUAGGGUGAUAAGUGAAGUUUUGAUACUGUGAAUGUUGGAUGACAUGCUUUUCAAAGAUGGGAAGCGUUUUAGAUUUAUGGCAGGGAUUUGCAUUAUCACUACGCAUCACGGUUCUGGAGGUAAUGUAGUCCGUGGCUCUCCUAUAUUUCUUUGAUACUUCAAAUUCAAAUGUAUAAUGUUGUUCCUUUUUAUUUUCAUAUGUGGAAACUACUACUUGUGAAAUCACAAUGAAAGGUCAUAACAAGUGAAAAUUGAUUUUCUAUUUAUCAUAGAAUAGUUUUUGAAGGCGUUGCAAUAAAUUCUCUCUCACUUGUGGGAUUUCACUGGGUUUGUUGUUGUUGUAGAUAGAUUACAAUUCUCAUCGUUUAGUGUUUUCACAGAAGAUGAGUGGAUGCUGAACUUUACUUUUAUUGUUUACCCCCCGUAAUAUUCUAUUGUACAAAAUUGUUAUGUUUAUACUGAAUUUAGUAGUGGAAGGAUAGACUGCUGAGACAAAGGCAUUUUGCUUGAAUACUGCACAAACAUAUCUACCAUGAGUAUGCUAGCCCAAGAGAAGGUCAACUGGUUUUGGAAGGUAUUGCAGAUCUUUCUAAUUUAAUCUACUGUGUUUUUUGUUCCUUUCAUAAGCCACAGCCUCUCUAAUGUGCUUUUGCAUAUAUCUAGGUAGAUACUUAUCAUAAUGUUCUGUUCUUUCUUUAAUCAAUUGAAUUGGACCUUAGUCUCUUUAUCUAUACGAUACGGACUAGAUUUUAGAUCGGGGUAUCACCAAUUGAAGAUCAGGGAGCAGGAUAUUUCGAAAAUAGCUUUCGGGACCCUGUAGGGGCACUUUGAGUUUCUGGUGUAGCCCUCCAGUUGUGGCCCCUGUGAAGAGUUGCAGAAUGAUGUAAGAUCAACGGAGCUUCUUAGAAUUAAAGAAUGAAUGAGAUAAAGCCUCUUCAUAGCAAAAUCUUGAAAAUUAUGUAUGUGGAGCUUGGUUCUUUGAAGAGACACAGGCAACCGCGCCUUCAAAAGGCAUGAACCAUCUUCUAGUACAACCUCGAACAUUUAAAGCUUGAAGAUAGAUAGUGUAUGUAAUAGCUUGAAAAUAAUGUAUUGUUAACCCUGAUUAGUCCCAAAACUUGGUCCUCUCUAAUAGUAGAUUGAUGAUUGUCUUGUUCCUCAGAUGUUACAGUGAACUUUUAACGAUUGAAUAUCUGAAUGUGCAUGCUUAUUGUAUAUCCCAGAACUGUUGACGCUUUUACUGACCAUUUCAAUCCAAGUCUCUUGCUCCUUAGCUAGCUAGAUUGUGCUACAUUUUGCAGAUAAUUGAGAUACCAAACCGAACCAAAUUCAAUGGACAUGUAUUUAUUCGCUUUUAAGUAUUGUGAUUUCAAGUGUUUCCAGUGAUUUAUAUUAGAAAGUGUACUUGAGAGA
Molecule: long non-coding RNA, 3201 nt
Filed under: Nicotiana benthamiana
Lineage: Eukaryota; Viridiplantae; Streptophyta; Magnoliopsida; Solanales; Solanaceae
Description: long non-coding RNA (NBEN_LNC025677)
Source: RNAcentral